CACAUAGAAGGGAUGAUGUGAUGUAUCUCUGUAUUUGCUUUCUGGCUGAAAUUUAGAACUGAUUAGUAAAGACAGGAUCGAUGACCUUUGUUAAGUCCUGUUUACCAGACUAGUAUGGAAGUUACUUAAAAUUGAGCCAACAAUUCUUCCCUGGAAGGGGGAGGGAGAUUGCUGAGGUCUUCAGGAGGAUCUUGCACUGAAAUCCCAGAAGAAAGAAAUGGUUGCAGCUGGCAGAUCUUUCAGAGAGUUCAAGAUGAAAAACAUGGCAAACCAAAGGGUGGCUGUCCUCAGCCUGAAGGUGCAGCACUGUAGAUGGUACAAUGUCUUUGGCUUCUGUCUGAUCAAUGGGUGUUGAAAGUCACUUCAGAAGGUACAUGGAAGAGUCCAGGGAUUAUCAGAAAAAGACUUACAAGAAAUUUCCUGUGAAGAUACAAGAGGAAAGGAAAAUGGACUGUGGCCACUUGUCCAAACACAGUAACAAGGACCGAUCCCACAUAUUUCAACUCUAUUUGCUAGGCACAUUCACAUGUUCUAACCUACUUCACUCAUGUGCUUACAUUACUUUAUUAUUACUUAUUCUCACUGGAAAGCAUACUGAUAGUAGAAAAUAGACUUUGCUAACUGGGAGAACAGUAGUAAUUAUUCCAUAGACACAUUGUUUUAAAAUCAUAUUUAGAUAAAUUCAUAACUAGAAUGAUUUUUUUUCUAAAGCAUAAAAGCUGUGCACUUAAUAGCUGGAUCAUUGUAUUUGUAAUGGAAACAAUUAAUAUUGCAUUUUAGUGUCUGCUUUUGUAUUAAGAACCAACAGAAAGAUCCAGGAAGAAAAAGAUUAGAGCCUAUCUGUAUUUUAAAAAAGCAACACAUGGUAUAAAUAUAAAUUAUUGUUUCCACCUUGUCUGACUGGGAGGUUCUGAAAGCAUUGUGCAAAUUAAGUCAAGUGAUUUUCAAAACAUGAGAGAUGCUAUUUGUACAUUACCAUCAGAAGAAACCAUAUAUGUGGAUUGAUUGUGUACUAUGAAUAGCAGUAAUAGCAUUUACACAGCAUUUCCAGCCAUGAAAAAAAUACUAAUUAAAAAAAAAAUUGCAAAGGGGGAAAAUGAAGUAAUGGCUUUUUUUUUUUUUUUUUUUUUUUUUUUUUUUUUUUUUUUUUUAAAUCAUAGUUUUUCACACCAUUAUCUAUGCUUGAGAAUAAAACUGUUCACUGCCUUUAGGCA
RNAcentral lists this long non-coding RNA (1214 nucleotides) under Phasianus colchicus (ring-necked pheasant). RNAcentral's name for it is "lncRNA (ENSPCLG00000001758.1)". Lineage: Eukaryota; Metazoa; Chordata; Aves; Galliformes; Phasianidae. The record is from RNAcentral.